GACGAUUCCUCUUCUCAUAUUCCUCUUUUCUUUUUUCUUCUCUAUUUAGCAUCAUUACCUUAACACUCUCGAGUCUCGACCUAAUUAAAAUUCUUAUAACAAUUAAAAUUGCUGCAAGAUCUCACAUAUUUUGAAUAUGACUACAAUCAGCUUGCCCACAUCUUUGUUGUAUAAGCAUUAAUCAUAGAAAUUAAACAAAUCAUACAAAGUUCCUUCAUAACAUGGGGCUGCCUCAUCAACUCUGUCAUUGUCUACUCUAACAGUGUAAAAAUAGUAUUGGAUCCAGCAGCAACCAUAUCCUUCACAAACACAGGCAAUUUUUCACAGCUGUAAAUUUCUCAAGUUUAUGGAAACUUUAUGGACAAUUAAUGAUCAUGGUUUUCAAUGUUGAAUAAGCUAAUCAUGAUUGGUUGACAUCAAGAUCUUUCGGAAUUUAGAGGAAAACGAAAACUUUUCGUUGCACCAAACUAAGAAAAGUACAAAAACUAAAACGGAGAUGGCUGUGUCCCCCAUUGUUGCAUCAGUAUCAAACAGAGACCCACCUUCUAGAGGUUCAUUGUCCUGUACAUUGAUGUUUCACUUCCACUAGAAGCAAUGUGGAAUUGCAAUGACCAUAAGAGGAUCUCGUCUGUUGAUUGUUAUUCCUGGGUUUUCAGGCACUUCAGAAGUCUCAUCUUCUGUUCCAUUGGGUAAUUUCCAGUCAAAUAAGUGAACAAGAUUUGCUAAUGCAAGCUCAGCAUUGAAUAAAGCAAAGGAUAUCCCUGGGCAGCCUCUUCUGCCUGCUCCAAAGGGAAUCAGAUGAAAAUCCAGGCCUUUGAAGUCUACUGUUGAGUUCAAGAACCUCUCUGGACGAAAUUCCUCUGGUUGUUCCCAGUAAGUAGGGUCUCUCUGUAUUGCCCACGCAUUGAUGAUUACUGUUGUCUUUGCAGCAAUGUCAUACCCAUUUAUUUUUGCGUCCUGAGAAGGUUCUCGAAACAGCAGCAAUGGGAGUGGUGGAUGUAGCCUUAGUACCUCCUUGAUCACUGCUUUCAUGUACUUCAUCUUUUCCAAAUCGUCUUCGGAUACCAUCAGAUUUUUACUGCUGAUUCCCCUUACUUCAUCUUGCAGUUCCUUCAUAACGUGGGGAUGCCUCAUCAACUCUGUCAUUGUCCACUCUAGCAGCGUAUAAGUAGUAUCGGAUCCAGCAGCAAACAUAUCCUUCACAAACACAGGCAGCUUCUUACGAUCGAGAUGCUCUUGAACAACAUGCUGAAGAAACUGAUCGAAUUCUUUAGCAACUUUCUCCACCCUUUUCUCCAGACCCGUCAGUUUAUCAACCCAACCAAGCCAAGGUCUAUUAGAGAAGAUAGUAUCAUGUGUUUUCAUAAUCUCGCAAGCUGCUUGAGCAGACGCGAUCACAAAGGAGGGAGUACUACCAAGGUAAAUCAACAUCACUUCUCCAUAUCGCAUUGAUAAUGAGUGCAGUGAACG
Long non-coding RNA from Amaranthus tricolor (Joseph's coat), 1470 nucleotides. RefSeq lists it as uncharacterized. The record is from RefSeq and is a predicted model, not a curated record. The transcript is spliced from 5 exons. NCBI's taxonomy places the organism in Eukaryota, Viridiplantae, Streptophyta, Magnoliopsida, Caryophyllales, Amaranthaceae.